Molecule: long non-coding RNA, 689 nt
Organism: Oreochromis aureus
Lineage: Eukaryota; Metazoa; Chordata; Actinopteri; Cichliformes; Cichlidae
Source: Ensembl
CAGCACUCAGUUUUCCAACGAUUUGGAUAAGUUCUAAGAUUUUACAGAUGAAUCCAAGCAGAGCUGAGAUCGCAUCUGAACAAAUAAAACAAAAACUUUAACAAACAAGAGAACAUCCCCCUUAAACAUGUCAGGACUGAUCUGUAAGUUCAAACUCCCCACACCGUGUCAGUGUGGACUCGCUGCGGGGGUAUAUAACUCCCCGCAGAUCCUCGUCUUCUGCAGAAGAAUCUGAACACGUCAGCGGGAACAGACGAACCUUCGCCAUCAUGUCCAGGAUCACAGGGAUCACGCUGCUGCUCAUCGUUCUGGUCAGCAGCUUGUGUGACAGCACAGCGAGGACAGAGUCUGUUGCUCAGUCUGGUGUGACCAACCUGGAUAUUCUCAGAUGCAGAUGCACCCAGUCUUCCAGAGGCAAGCUUAGGUGUCCCCAACCACUCAUGCCCACAGACAGCAAAGAGAAACAGGCUCUGAAAAAAUGCCUCUGCAGCGCAGGAAAACAAAACAAGCGUCCAGAGCUUCUGCGAUUCUGCCACAUAAGUGUGUUUGGGGGGUCUGCUACACCGUUCUGAUAUAAAUCAGUGGAAUCAUAAAUGAACUUGACAUGAAAUCCUAUUUUGUAUGAUAGUAUUCUUGUUUUAUGUUUGUGAAUUUUCUGCUGCUGUAAAUAAAAACAGAUCUUUAUCAGA